This 24-nucleotide microRNA is filed under the name Ananas comosus (pineapple). RNAcentral describes it as "microRNA s1333_c042b". The record is from RNAcentral. Lineage: Eukaryota; Viridiplantae; Streptophyta; Magnoliopsida; Poales; Bromeliaceae.
CGGAGAAGGAUAUUUUUUACAUAC